This 537-nucleotide ribosomal RNA is filed under the name uncultured bacterium. Its description in RNAcentral is "bacterial SSU rRNA". It matches the Rfam family "Bacterial small subunit ribosomal RNA", at positions 355 to 896 of the family's 1533-position model. The record is from RNAcentral.
UAGGGAAUAUUGGGCAAUGGGCGGAAGCCUGACCCAGCCACGCCGCGUGCAGGAAGACGGCCCUCUGGGUUGUAAACUGCUUUUAACUGGGAAGAAAAGAGGCUUUGCGAAGCAAGUUGACGGUACCAGUUGAAUAAGCCACGGCUAACUACGUGCCAGCAGCCGCGGUAAUACGUAGGUGGCGAGCGUUAUCCGGAUUUAUUGGGUUUAAAGGGAGCGUAGGCGGCUGAUUAAGUCAGCGGUGAAAGGUAGCAGCUUAACUGUUUUACAUGCCGUUGAUACUGGUUAGCUUGAGUUGACAGAAGGCAGAUAGAAUUCCUGGUGUAGCGGUGAAAUGCUUAGAUACCAGGAGGAAUACCGAUUGCGAAGGCAGUCUGCUGCAGUCACACUGACGCUGAGGCUCGAAGGUGCGGGGAUCAAACAGGAUUAGAUACCCUGGUAGUCCGCACAGUAAACGAUGAUUACUAGAUGUUGGCCAAGCCAGUGUCCAAGGGAAACCGAUAAGUAAUCCACCUGGGGAGUACGCCGGCAACGGUG